Cryptomeria japonica (Japanese cedar) is the source of this 119-nucleotide ribosomal RNA. Lineage: Eukaryota; Viridiplantae; Streptophyta; Pinopsida; Cupressales; Cupressaceae. The record is from RefSeq and is a predicted model, not a curated record.
GGGUACGAUCAUACCAGUGUCAGUGCACCGGAUGCCAUCAUAACUCCGCAGUUAAGUGCACUUGGGUCGGAGUAGUACUGGGAUGGGUGACCUCUCGGGAAGUCCUGGCGUUGCACCCU